CCCAUCCGUGUCUAUUGUACCCUGUUGCUUCGGCGGGCCCGCCGCUUGUCGGCCGCCGGGGGGGCGCCUCUGCCCCCCGGGCCCGUGCCCGCCGGAGACCCCAACACGAACACUGUCUGAAAGCGUGCAGUCUGAGUUGAUUGAAUGCAAUCAGUUAAAACUUUCAACAAUGGAUCUCUUGGUUCCGGCAUCGAUGAAGAACGCAGCGAAAUGCGAUAACUAAUGUGAAUUGCAGAAUUCAGUGAAUCAUCGAGUCUUUGAACGCACAUUGCGCCCCCUGGUAUUCCGGGGGGCAUGCCUGUCCGAGCGUCAUUGCUGCCCUCAAGCCCGGCUUGUGUGUUGGGUCGCCGUCCCCCUCUCCGGGGGGACGGGCCCGAAAGGCAGCGGCGGCACCGCGUCCGAUCCUCGAGCGUAUGGGGCUUUGUCACAUGCUCUGUAGGAUUGGCCGGCGCCUGCCGACGUUUUCCAACCAUUCUUUCCAGGUUGACCUCGGAUCAGGUAGGGAUACCCGCUGAACUUAAGCAUAUCAAUAAGCGGAGGAA
This 542-nucleotide ribosomal RNA is filed under the name fungal sp. SNB-LAP1-7-77. RNAcentral describes it as "eukaryotic LSU rRNA". The stretch from base 159 to 312 matches the Rfam family "5.8S ribosomal RNA". Lineage: Eukaryota; Fungi. The record is from RNAcentral.